GCUUCAUAGACGCCGCGUGUACCCGGUUGUCCUCAGGCGCUGUCAGCGCUUUGUAGCCCAGGCUGGAGUGCUGGUGGCACAGAUCGUGGCUCACUGCAGCCCAGAACUCAGGGCUCAAGAGAUCUUUCCACCUUAGUCUUAGUCUCCUAAGUACCAGAUACUACAGAUCUGUGGUUUUUCUACUUGAAGGACACAAUGUUUUCCAAACUAGCACAUUUGCAGAGGUUUGCUGUACUUAGUCGCGGAGUUCAUUCUUCAGUGGCUUCUGCUACAUCUGUUGCAACUAAAAAAACAGUCCAAGGCCCUCCAACCUCUGAUGACAUUUUUGAAAGGGAAUAUAAGUAUGGUGCACACAACUACCAUCCUUUACCUGUAGCCCUGGAGAGAGGAAAAGGUAUUUACUUAUGGGAUGUAGAAGGCAGAAAAUAUUUUGACUUCCUGAGUUCUUACAGUGCUGUCAACCAAGGGCAUUGUCACCCCAAGAUUGUGAAUGCUCUGAAGAGUCAAGUGGACAAAUUGACCUUAACAUCUAGAGCUU
Molecule: long non-coding RNA, 538 nt
Filed under: Homo sapiens (human)
Lineage: Eukaryota; Metazoa; Chordata; Mammalia; Primates; Hominidae
Description: HSALNT0169515
Source: RNAcentral